CCUGCCCCUAGAGGUGUUGGAAAUGUGGCUGCUGCAUCAUAUGUGUGUCAGUGCGUGGCAGAAAAGAGAGAGGCUAUGUCUAUGCUCAAUAUUCUGACCUAUAAACAUCUGAAUGAUUAGUAACUUAACAAU
Arvicanthis niloticus (Nile rat) is the source of this 132-nucleotide small nucleolar RNA. RefSeq annotates it as small nucleolar RNA SNORA17. NCBI's taxonomy places the organism in Eukaryota, Metazoa, Chordata, Mammalia, Rodentia, Muridae. The record is from RefSeq and is a predicted model, not a curated record.